RNAcentral lists this unclassified non-coding RNA (24 nucleotides) under Mus musculus (house mouse). RNAcentral describes it as "oocyte_clustered_small_RNA13392". Lineage: Eukaryota; Metazoa; Chordata; Mammalia; Rodentia; Muridae. The record is from RNAcentral.
UAAGACCUUCACCAUAGCUGCCUG